RNAcentral lists this ribosomal RNA (467 nucleotides) under uncultured bacterium. RNAcentral's name for it is "partial 16S ribosomal RNA". It matches the Rfam family "Bacterial small subunit ribosomal RNA", at positions 28 to 506 of the family's 1533-position model. The record is from RNAcentral.
GACGAACGCUGGCGGCGUGCUUAACACAUGCAAGUCGAACGGAAAGGCCCUGCUUUUGUGGGGUGCUCGAGUGGCGAACGGGUGAGUAACACGUGAGUAACCUGCCCUUGACUUUGGGAUAACUUCAGGAAACUGGGGCUAAUACCGGAUAGGAGCUCCUGCUGCAUGGUGGGGGUUGGAAAGUUUCGGCGGUUGGGGAUGGACUCGCGGCUUAUCAGCUUGUUGGUGGGGUAGUGGCUUACCAAGGCUUUGACGGGUAGCCGGCCUGAGAGGGUGACCGGCCACAUUGGGACUGAGAUACAGCCCAGACUCCUACGGGAGGCAGCAGUAAGGAAUAUUGCACAAUGGGCGGAAGCCUGAUGCAGCAACGCCGCGUGCGGGAGGACGGCCUUCGGGUUGUAAACCGCUUUCGCCUGUGACGAAGCGUGAGUGAAGGUAAUGGGUAAAGAAGCACAGGCUAACUACGU